RNAcentral lists this ribosomal RNA (308 nucleotides) under Leuconostoc mesenteroides. RNAcentral's name for it is "bacterial SSU rRNA". It matches the Rfam family "Bacterial small subunit ribosomal RNA", at positions 30 to 327 of the family's 1533-position model. The record is from RNAcentral. Lineage: Bacteria; Bacillati; Bacillota; Bacilli; Lactobacillales; Lactobacillaceae.
UGAACGCUGGCGGCGUGCCUAAUACAUGCAAGUCGAACGCACAGCGAAAGGUGCUUGCACCUUUCAAGUGAGUGGCGAACGGGUGAGUAACACGUGGACAACCUGCCUCAAGGCUGGGGAUAACAUUUGGAAACAGAUGCUAAUACCGAAUAAAACUUAGUGUCGCAUGACAAAAAGUUAAAAGGCGCUUCGGCGUCACCUAGAGAUGGAUCCGCGGUGCAUUAGUUAGUUGGUGGGGUAAAGGCCUACCAAGACAAUGAUGCAUAGCCGAGUUGAGAGACUGAUCGGCCACAUUGGGACUGAGACAA